GAGCGCCGUAUCAAUACGGAGCGGCAGGCGGGAGAGUAACACGUGGGAACGUGCCCUUCAGUUCGGAACAACCCAGGGGAAACUUGCGGCUAAUACCGGAGUACGUCCGUAAGGAGAAAGAUUUAUCGCUGAAGGAUCGGCCCGCGUCUGAUUAGCUUGAUUGGUGAGGUAACGGCUCACCAAGGCGACGAUCAGUAGCUGGUCUGAGAGGAUGAUCAGCCUCACUGGGACUGAGACACGGCCCAGACUCCUACGGGAGGCAGCAGUGGGGAAUAUUGGACAAUGGGCGCAAGCCUGAUCCAGCCAUGCCGCGUGGGUGAUGAACGCCUUAGGGUUGUAAAGCCCUUUCGGCGGGGAAGAUAAUGACGGUACCCGCAGAAGAAGCCCCGGCUAACUUCGUG
Molecule: ribosomal RNA, 401 nt
Filed under: uncultured bacterium
Lineage: Bacteria
Description: bacterial SSU rRNA
Rfam family: Bacterial small subunit ribosomal RNA
Source: RNAcentral